UACGUAGGUGGCGAGCGUUAUCCGGAAUCAUUGGGUUUAAAGGGUCCGUAGGUGGAUAAUUAAGUCAGAGGUGAAAUCUUGCAGCUCAACUGUAAAAUUGCCUUUGAUACUGGUUAUCUUGAAUUAUUAUGAAGUGGUUAGAAUAUGUAGUGUAGCGGUGAAAUGCAUAGAUAUUACAUAGAAUACCAAUUGCGAAGGCA
This 200-nucleotide ribosomal RNA is filed under the name uncultured bacterium. Its description in RNAcentral is "partial 16S ribosomal RNA". It matches the Rfam family "Bacterial small subunit ribosomal RNA", at positions 524 to 723 of the family's 1533-position model. The record is from RNAcentral.